GAUGAACGCUAGCGGCAGGCCUAACACAUGCAAGUCGAGGGGGAGGUUACUUUCGGGUAACUGAGACCGGCGUACGGGUGCGUAACGCGUAUACAAUCUGCCUUUCACUGGGGGAUAGCCCGAAGAAAUUUGGAUUAAUACCCCAUAGUAUAGUAAUACGGCAUCGUGAUACUAUUAAAGCUUAGGUGGUGAAAGAUGAGUAUGCGUUCUAUUAGCUAGUUGGAGAGGUAACGGCUCCCCAAGGCGAUGAUAGAUAGGGGUUCUGAGAGGGAUGUCCCCCACACUGGUACUGAGAUACGGACCAGACUCCUACGGGAGGCAGCAGUGAGGAAUAUUGGACAAUGGUCGGAAGACUGAUCCAGCCAUGCCGCGUGCAGGAUGACGGCCUUAUGGGUUGUAAACUGCUUUUGUAAGGGAAGAAUAAGGACUACGUGUAGUUUGAUGACGGUACCUUAUGAAUAAGCAUCGGCUAACUCCGUGCCAGCAGCCGCGGUAAUACGGAGGAUGCGAGCGUUAUCCGGAAUCAUUGGGUUUAAAGGGUCUGUAGGCGGGCUGGUAAGUCAGAGGUGAAAGCGCUUAGCUCAACUAAGCAACUGCCUUUGAAACUGUUGGUCUUGAAUGGUUGUGAAGUAGUUGGAAUGUGUAGUGUAGCGGUGAAAUGCUUAGAUAUUACACAGAACACCGAUAGCGAAGGCAUAUUACUAACAAUUAAUUGACGCUGAUGGACGAAAGCGUGGGGAGCGAACAGG
RNAcentral lists this ribosomal RNA (749 nucleotides) under Capnocytophaga ochracea. Its description in RNAcentral is "bacterial SSU rRNA". It matches the Rfam family "Bacterial small subunit ribosomal RNA", at positions 28 to 776 of the family's 1533-position model. Lineage: Bacteria; Pseudomonadati; Bacteroidota; Flavobacteriia; Flavobacteriales; Flavobacteriaceae. The record is from RNAcentral.